UAGUCCACGCCGUAAACGAUGUGUGCUAGAUGUCGGGUCCAUAGGAUUCGGUGUCGCAGCUAACGCACUAAGCACACCGCCUGGGGAGUACGGUCGCAAGAUUAAAACUCAAAGGAAUUGACGGGGACCCGCACAAGCGGUGGAGCAUGUUCUUUAAUUCGAAGCAACGCGAAGAACCUUACCUACACUUGACAUACUCGUCGGGAUUUCCAGAGAUGGAUUUCUUCGGUUCGGCCGGACGAGAUACAGGUGCUGCACGGCUGUCGUCAGCUCGUGUCGUGAGAUGUUUGGUUAAGUCCAGCAACGAGCGCAACCCCUAUCGUAUGUUGCCAGCAUUCAGUUGGGCACUCAUGCGAGACUGCCGGUGUUAGGCCGGAGGAAGGCGGGGAUGAUGUCAAGUCCUCAUGGCCCUUAUGACCAGGGCUACACACGUACUACAAUGGCAAAGACAAACUGACGCGAAGCCGCGAGGUGAAGCAAAUCGGAAAAACAUUAGUCUC
Molecule: ribosomal RNA, 500 nt
Filed under: uncultured bacterium
Lineage: Bacteria
Description: bacterial SSU rRNA
Rfam family: Bacterial small subunit ribosomal RNA
Source: RNAcentral